GUUUCUGACCUAUCAGCUUUAGACGGUAGGGUAUUGGCCUACCGUGGCUAUGACGGGUAACGGGGAAUUAGGGUUCGAUUCCGGAGAGGGAGCCUGAGAAACGGCUACCACAUCUAAGGAAGGCAGCAGGCGCGCAAAUUACCCAAUCCUAAUACAGGGAGGUAGUGACAAGAAAUAACAAUACAGAGCCUUACGGUUUUGUAAUUGGAAUGAGUUAAGUAUAAACCCCUUAACAAGUAUCAAUUGGAGGGCAAGUCUGGUGCCAGCAGCCGCGGUAAUUCCAGCUCCAAUAGCGUAUAUUAAAGUUGUUGCAGUUAAAAAGCUCGUAGUUAAUUUUCUGUUAAUUUUUAUAUACAAUGCUACGGUAUUUAUAUAAUAUUAACAUAAUUCAUAUUACUUUUUAAGUAUAUGAAACUUUACUUUGAGAAAAUUAGAGUGCUUAAAGCAGGCUAUUGCCUUGAAUACUCCAGCAUGGAAUAAUAUUAAGGAUUUUUAUUCUUCUUAUUGGUUCUAGAAUAAAAAUAAUGAUUAAUAGGGACAGUUGGGGGCAUUUGUAUUUAACAGUCAGAGGUGAAAUUCUUAGAUUUGUUAAAGACAAACUACUGCGAAAGCAUUUGCCAAGGAUGUUUUCAUUAAUCAAGAACGAAAGUUAGGGGAUCGAAGACGAUCAGAUACCGUCGUAGUCU
This 686-nucleotide ribosomal RNA is filed under the name Cryptosporidium ryanae. Its description in RNAcentral is "SSU rRNA". It matches the Rfam family "Eukaryotic small subunit ribosomal RNA", at positions 303 to 1026 of the family's 1831-position model. The record is from RNAcentral. Lineage: Eukaryota; Apicomplexa; Conoidasida; Eucoccidiorida; Cryptosporidiidae.